RNAcentral lists this unclassified non-coding RNA (354 nucleotides) under soil metagenome. Its description in RNAcentral is "partial contains 5.8S ribosomal RNA, internal transcribed spacer 2, and large subunit ribosomal RNA". The stretch from base 1 to 120 matches the Rfam family "5.8S ribosomal RNA", at positions 35 to 154 of the family's 154-position model. The record is from RNAcentral.
GAUGAAGAACGCAUCGAAAUGCGAUAAGUAGUGUGAAUUGCAGAAUUCCGUGAAUCAUCGAAUCUUUGAACGCACAUUGCGCCCCCUGGCAUUCCGGGGGGCAUGCCUGUCCGAGCGUCAUUUCUGCCCUCCAGCCAGGCUGGGUGUUGGGCGCUGUCCCCCCGGGGACACGCCCCAAAGGCAGUGGCGGCGCCGCGUCGGGUCCUCGAGCGUAUGGGGCUUUGUCACCCGCUCGGGACGGACUCGUCGGCGCUGGUCUUCCUCCAGGCGACCCUUCGGGGCUCGUCUUCCUUCGGUUGACCUCGGAUCAGGUAGGGUUACCCGCUGAACUUAAGCAUAUCAAUAAGCGGAGGA